RNAcentral lists this ribosomal RNA (446 nucleotides) under uncultured bacterium. Its description in RNAcentral is "partial 16S ribosomal RNA". It matches the Rfam family "Bacterial small subunit ribosomal RNA", at positions 329 to 792 of the family's 1533-position model. The record is from RNAcentral.
UUCCAGACUCCUACGGGAGGCAGCAGUGGGGGAUAUUGCACAAUGGGGGGAACCCUGAUGCAGCGACGCCGCGUGGGUGAAGAAGCGCCUCGGCGCGUAAAGCCCUGUCAGCAGGGAAGAAAAUGACGGUACCUGAAGAAGAAGCCCCGGCUAACUACGUGCCAGCAGCCGCGGUAAUACGUAGGGGGCAAGCGUUAUCCGGAUUUACUGGGUGUAAAGGGGGCGCAGACGGCGAUGCAAGCCAGGAGUGAAAGCCCGGGGCCCAACCCCGGGACUGCAUUUGGAACUGUGCUGCUAGAGUGUCGGAGAGGCAGGCGGAAUUCCUAGUGUAGCGGUGAAAUGCGUGGAUAUUAGGAGGAACACCAGUGGCGAAGGCGGCCUGCUGGACGAUGACUGACGUUGAGGCUCGAAAGCGUGGGGAGCAAACAGGAUUAGAUACCCCUGUA